Molecule: ribosomal RNA, 26 nt
Filed under: Karenia papilionacea
Lineage: Eukaryota; Dinophyceae; Gymnodiniales; Kareniaceae
Description: partial large subunit ribosomal RNA
Source: RNAcentral
AGCAAACCCGCUGAACUUAAGCAUAU